UGCUGUUUUUAAGCCUGUCCUAGACUCAUGUGUGAGUGCUCGUGAAGGCUAGUGUAGCUUAAUGUUGCUGUUGAAUUGUUUUUGUUUGCUGAUUUCAGGAUUGUGAGUGUGAAGCUGUGUAGGAGAAAUGAGGCUUUUGCUGGCUGUCAGUCUCAUUCUCCUCUUCCUAUGUAAGUAGAUGUCUUUGAAAGAACGCAACCACCACUGAUGAGGUUUAAAAGCUUUGUUUGAUGUAGUUGUGUUUUGCUCUUAUCCAAGUGUGUUGCUAACUUUUCAGGGCUUCACAAGACUCAGACAUCUAGUGUCACCUUGCACAUGAAUGCUUGUGAGGCAGUAUCGCUGAGUGAGGCAGCAGUAUCUCUCCUCUUGUCGCCCCUGUCUCUGUACUCCUGGAUGACCUCCACGUUGCUCAGGUUCCUUCUGUCCGUCCCAGCUCUCGUCUUCACCUCCUUGUAUCACUCCUUGCUGCUGAUCCUGGCUGGGCCUUGGUGUGUUGCCACUGUCUGCUUCUCUCUGCUGGUGACCGGUCUCCAUAUCUCUCUCUACCUACUUCACCUCGGGCUGGUGGCUGGGGCAGUAGCCAUUUUGGCUGUCAGGCAACACAAGAUGGCUGACGGUGACACCCCCAGUGAGAAAGUAUUAAGCCUACAGAAGAGCGUAGAACGGCAGCAAACCAAAAGCAGGCUAAUAAUUGGUAAAAGAGCUGCCCAGCAAGGCUGAGUUGUGCUGUAAAAUGAUGAUGUGUGAAUAAAAAUCCACCUUAUUUAAUAUAUUUUACCUUUUAUUUUUACCUGUUUAUUUAAUGAAAGUAAACUUUUUGUUGAUUUUUACAUAGAUUCUGUGUUUUACUGGGUUUGGGACAACCUUACAAGGAAGCAAAAAGAAAAGGGGAGGGAGGAGCGCAGUAGUGAGUCCUUGUGCCCUAAAUGAGGGUGAAAAUAUAUCUUCUUGUUGCUACUUUAACAAACAGCCUGCAGUUGUCCACUUAUCGGUCUCUCUCAUUUUCUCUCGUCGUCUUUAAACGUGGCCCCCAAUUAUCUGCGGAUUGUUGUGCUGUUUGCUUCCCAUCUGCAGAUGUUAUCAUUAGACGUGUCUGUCAAAUGGAGAUGAGAAGAUAAGAGAAGAACCGAGACGAACAGGAGAAAAUGUUCUGCAUUCGUAACGUUUAUGCAGCGGAGUCCAACGGUGCAGGACAUGCAAACCACAUUCCUGAAAAACACUAAUAAAGCGAGUUAACAGGGAGAGAAACUGCAUGCGGUGGAGGCGUUGAGCCAAGGCGGCAAAUGCUUGCCCAACCAAGUAAACAGCGUAUGCAGACAAACUGUGGCUCCCUGAUCACAGUGAAGCAUUAAAACUGCACAGAAAUAACAGUCUUAUCAAAAUGAUCAACACUGCAGCCGAAGGGUUUAGCCGUUUAAAAAGUAACCGGUGAACUUUCUGUGCUGUUGUCUGUACGAGCGUGCGAGAAAGAGACAGAGAGAGACAGAAGGGAAAUGAGGCUGGAUCAUAGAGAUUUAUUACAUGGCCGUGGCAUCCUAAUUAGCAUAAAGACUGGACUGGCCCACUCAAGCAGAGAAUUAAAAACCUUAAUUGUGCUGUCAGCCUUCCUCUCUCUUUCUCACUGUUGACUCUACUUCAUUCCGCUCGCAUUCGUCUCCUCCCGCUUUCCUUGCCCUCUCCUCUCUGCUUAUGAAGUAGCGAGCGUCCAUGCCGUUUAAUUGUUGGUGAUAAAUGGGAAGCAGGAUGUUUGUAAUUGUCUCAGAGAUUCGUGUGUGUGUGUGUGUGUAGGGGGAAGGACGACAGAGAUCGUCUAGAGGAGGGAGAGGAAGAGGACGAGGAGAGUUAUCCUGUUUUGUAAGAAGAGAGUGGGGAAGCCAUUUAUCAAAUGUUUGUUUGAAGGAGGAAAAUUAGCUUGGCAGACGCAGGCGAGGAAGUGUUAGUUGGAUUUGAUCCCAGGCCAAGCUGAUGCUUUUUCCUAUUUGUUUAAAUCUCCAAUAUAAUUCAGUGCUCACAUUAUAGAAAGUAGAAAUGUUUCAUGUUUAAGCCUUACAAAUGUUUCAGAUUCAUAUGGGGAUUACAUGAUUGAGCAAAUGAGGGUCAGAAAUGAUAUACAAGACAAUAUAGUUCAUAUCCAAAUGAUUAAAUCUGAUUGUAUUGCAAAAUAGACUUAAGAUGAUGUCUGAAAUACUUUUGUUUGACAGACGCUUCUGUAUGUUAAGUGCUAAGUUUGAUAGUCCAGCAGUCUAAAUUUAAACUGUUUGUGUAAAACUGAUACAUUAAUCAUGAUAUGAUAGGAGCUUGGGAUGGCAAGGUGGUGCAGUGGUUAGCACUGUCGCCUCACAGCAAGAAGGUCUUGGCUUCUAAUCCAGUUUGGGGCCUUUCUGUGUGGAGUUUGCAUGUCCUCCCUGUGUAUGUAUGGGUACUCUGGCUCUAUUUAGUGAUUCUAAAUUGACCAUAGAUGUUUAUUUGUUACCCCUUCGAUAGAUUGGCGUCCAGGUUGUACCCUGUUUCUCACCCAGUGAAAGACCAUGAAUUGGAUAAGCAUAAGAAAAUGGAUGAAGAACAGGAACAUGGCAAAGAUAACUACAAAAGCCAAAAACUGCUGAGGAGGAGGAUGGGAAAAGGCGUUAUGAAACAAACAGUCUCUCAAGCUUUCAAUGCGUAAUCUUUGCUUAUUUCACAGGUGAAAACCCCCCCGCUAUGACCAAAUUCUGAUUAGCAAAUUGGAGCACCUUGAACUCAUCAUUUUUUUCCACUGCAAAUGACCAAAAUCAGUUAUUAAUUUAUAUGUCCAUUAUUAAACUAUCUUAUCUUGGAUUUAUUUUUCAACCUGCAGUCACUGUCGCCUGUAUUCUGUCCCUGUCAAAUUACUGUUGAAUAAUUAGAUGCACACUAUGUCAUUUUUAUUCCUCAGACCACUGAAAUAAAUUGGAGGCUCUGCUCUUUUUUUGCCCUUUGCUACGGUAAAUUAUGGUAUUAUAGCUUGAUUGAAGAGAGCUUUAUGAUCUAGAAACUCAGUUAAGUCAGAUUUUACUGAACCUGCUUUCCACAACAGGGUCGGUGUGUUCUGGAUUAAGACCCACUGAAAUAGGUUCUUCAUUUGGUUUCUUUAGUUUUUAGCACUUGUAGCUUUGUUAUAGCUUUUUCUGUUCUUGUAUGCGGACUACACCUCUGACCAUCACAGUGUGAAUAUUUGCCAGUUUCCUGAGAUAAAAUCCAGUGAAAACCCAAUUACAAAAAUACUAAUGGCAUUUAUUCACAUAAAAGAUGUCAACAUAAUCUGAAUAAACGUAAUCUGCUUGUUUGACUGGAGAAAAAUUAGUUGGAUGAAGGAGGGAGGAGGAGCACAGGGAAGAAGUAGGAUAGCAGUGAAAGGCUUUUCUAAAGGAGGAGGAGGAAAUGUUUUUGCGAGGGUCAGUCCUGUUUGUGCGUCUCUGCUGUCAAAGCCUCUCCUGCAGUAGCAGACGAGGUUAAGACUUAGGAGGCCGGGCCCUCUCAUACGGCGUCUCCCUCAGCACUGACAGCUCACUGAGGCACACACAUGCCCACAGACAACACGCACUGCCUUAAACUUUCCACUUUACCCCAGUCCUCCAACCUCCUUUUAAUGCAUCUGCCCUUCUCUUCCCUCUCUGUCUCCUGCUCUCCCUUUGCUUCCAUUUCUCUCAUUGUUUUUCUGUUUCUAUCGUUCUUCUUUUUCUUCUCGCUCUCUCUAAUUGGUCUCCGCUAGGUUUGCUUAGACAGGCCUAUUCAUCAUAGCACUAUCCUCAGAGACAAACCCUCAGGGAGCAAGGGGGAGAUAGACAGAGUCAGACGGGAGGGCGAUAGGGUCUGCCGCUUGUCAACCCACUUCUCUCCUCUUUUCCCCCUCCCUCUUUACUUCCCCCUCUCCCUCGUCUCUCUGCUCGGUACAUAGAUGUCAGUUUUGCAAAGGGAAGUGGGGGUGAGGGAGGUAAAGAGGGAGGGAAUGUAGACACAUUAGUUAGGCUAUUAGUUCAACAAGCUGCUUCCAUGCCUGUCAGUGGUCCAACAUCCAACCACA
This is a long non-coding RNA of Oreochromis niloticus (Nile tilapia), 4042 nucleotides long. The record is from Ensembl. NCBI's taxonomy places the organism in Eukaryota, Metazoa, Chordata, Actinopteri, Cichliformes, Cichlidae.